RNAcentral lists this ribosomal RNA (404 nucleotides) under Verrucomicrobiota bacterium. RNAcentral describes it as "Verrucomicrobia bacterium partial 16S ribosomal RNA". It matches the Rfam family "Bacterial small subunit ribosomal RNA", at positions 355 to 776 of the family's 1533-position model. Lineage: Bacteria; Pseudomonadati; Verrucomicrobiota. The record is from RNAcentral.
UGGGGAAUAUUGCACAAUGGGCGCAAGCCUGAUGCAGCAACGCCGCGUGAACGAUGAAGGUCUUCGGAUCGUAAAGUUCUGUUGCAGGGGAAGAUAAUGACGGUACCCUGUGAGGAAGCCCCGGCUAACUACGUGCCAGCAGCCGCGGUAAUACGAAGGGGGCUAGCGUUGUUCGGAUUUACUGGGCGUAAAGCGCACGUAGGCGGACUUUUAAGUCAGGGGUGAAAUCCCGGGGCUCAACCCCGGAACUGCCUUUGAUACUGGAAGUCUUGAGUAUGGUAGAGGUGAGUGGAAUUCCGAGUGUAGAGGUGAAAUUCGUAGAUAUUCGGAGGAACACCAGUGGCGAAGGCGGCUCACUGGACCAUUACUGACGCUGAGGUGCGAAAGCGUGGGGAGCAAACAGG